CCUACGGGUGGCACCAGUGAGGAAUAUUGGACAAUGGGUGGAAGCCUGAUCCAGCCAUCCCGCGUGCAGGAAGACGGCCCUAUGGGUUGUAAACUGCUUUUAUCUGGGGAUAAACCUACUUACGUGUAAGUAGCUGAAGGUACCAGAAGAAUAAGCACCGGCUAACUCCGUGCCAGCAGCCGCGGUAAUACGGAGGGUGCAAGCGUUAUCCGGAUUUAUUGGGUUUAAAGGGUCCGUAGGCGGACUAGUAAGUCAGUGGUGAAAUCCGACAGCUUAACUGUCGAACUGCCAUUGAUACUGCUAGUCUUGAGUAAGGUUGAAGUGGCUGGAAUAAGUAGUGUAGCGGUGAAAUGCAUAGAUAUUACUUAGAACAAUAAUUGCGAAGGAAGGUCACUAAGUCUUAACUGACGCUGAUGGACGAAAGCGUGGGGAGCGAACAGGAUUAGAGACCCCCGUAGUC
Molecule: ribosomal RNA, 460 nt
Filed under: uncultured bacterium
Lineage: Bacteria
Description: bacterial SSU rRNA
Rfam family: Bacterial small subunit ribosomal RNA
Source: RNAcentral